UCGGGAAUUUUGGGCAAUGGGCGAAAGCCUGACCCAGCAACGCCGCGUGAAGGAUGAAAUCCCUCGGGAUGUAAACUUCGCAAGAACAGGAAGAAUAAGUUUGUGCUAAUACCACAAGCGAUGACGGUACUGUUUGUAAGCUCCGGCUAACUCCGUGCCAGCAGCCGCGGUAAUACGGGGGGAGCAAGCGUUGUUCGGAUUUACUGGGCGUAAAGGGCGCGUAGGCGGCCUCCGCAAGUCAGUUGUGAAAUCUCCGAGCUUAACUCGGAAAGGUCAACUGAUACUGCGGGGCUAGAGUGCGGAAGGGGCAACUGGAAUUCUUGGUGUAGCGGUGAAAUGCGUAGAUAUCAAGAGGAACACCUGCGGCGAAGGCGGGUUGCUGGGCCGACACUGACGCUGAGGCGCGAAAGCCAGGGGAGCGAACGG
RNAcentral lists this ribosomal RNA (426 nucleotides) under uncultured bacterium. RNAcentral's name for it is "bacterial SSU rRNA". It matches the Rfam family "Bacterial small subunit ribosomal RNA", at positions 355 to 775 of the family's 1533-position model. The record is from RNAcentral.